AGCAGUCGCCGCGGUAAUACGAAGGGUGCAAGCGUUAAUCGGAAUUACUGGGCGUAAAGCGUGCGUAGGCGGUUUGUUAAGUCUGCUGUGAAAUCCCCGGGCUCAACCUGGGAAUGGCAGUGGAUACUGGCAAGCUAGAGUGUGUCAGAGGAUGGUGGAAUUCCCGGUGUAGCGGUGAAAUGCGUAGAGAUCGGGAGGAACAUCAGUGGCGAAGGCGGCCAUCUGGGACAACACUGACGCUGAGGCACGAAAGCGUGGGGAGCAAACAGGAUUAGAUACCCCGGUAGUCCCUGUCUCUUAUAA
This 303-nucleotide ribosomal RNA is filed under the name uncultured bacterium. RNAcentral describes it as "partial 16S ribosomal RNA". It matches the Rfam family "Bacterial small subunit ribosomal RNA", at positions 507 to 809 of the family's 1533-position model. The record is from RNAcentral.